GGACACCGUGGAAACUAAACAACUUCUACCAACACCUAGACAAAUGACAGCCCGGGAACUCAGAUGCUCACAGUCCAGCCAAGAUCCCUUCCUCCUAAAGGCCAAACGUUCUGCUCUGCACAAAGCACUUGACUUCCGAUGAAUACAGUGUGUUUUCCUGAGAAGUUGGCAGAUGGCGAUGUAUAGAAAGUGCAGUGUCUGGCACACGCGGAGCUGCUGAUCCGUGCUACCCAUUGGCAUUGGAACAGCUGCAUUUUUGAGCAGAGACAUGAAAAGCAUGGGGGGAGAUCGUCACGCCGCCACCACAGAUGUCCCUGCCUUGGCCGAGGACAGAAGACAGCAGCCAAUAUUCACAGUGGACUGCAGAUGUUUCCCUUCACCACGGAUCAGAGGGGCCAUUAUGGACAGCGUGGGCUCUGCAGGAGUUUUGUGUUCCAGACGGAAUAUUACAGAAUAUGCAUGGCUCCAUCCAACAUUUAUUGAAUACCUACUCUGUGCUGAGCCGCUUUCUAAAUACAAAGAUGAAUAGGUCACAUUCCUUGUCCCCUCAGACACUGAAUUACACACAAGGAGACAACACACAUAAUUAGCCGUAGCGUACUGAGGAGUUCUGUGUGUGGCAGAAACAGUGGUUGAUCUCAGGAGAGAUUUCUGUCAGAGAGCCUUGGAAGAAGAUGAAGACCGUGAGGGACAUCCAGAGUCUUCUCAGGACGGUAAAUAAUGAAAGGACUUAAUGAAAUGAAGAGCAAAGGUCAUUUGAGGUGGUAGAGUGAGGUGCGCAGACCAGCAGGCUUCCGCGCCCCCCAACCCCCACCUCACCCAGUCACUGCCCACCCGUGACACCUUCUUUCAGUAUCUGAGUCAUACC
This is a long non-coding RNA of Rattus rattus (black rat), 868 nucleotides long. RefSeq lists it as uncharacterized. Lineage: Eukaryota; Metazoa; Chordata; Mammalia; Rodentia; Muridae. The transcript is spliced from 3 exons. The record is from RefSeq and is a predicted model, not a curated record.